GAUGAAGAACGUAGCGAAAUGCGAUAAGUAAUGUGAAUUGCAGAACUCAGUGAAUCAUCGAAUCUUUGAACGCAUCUUGCGCUCCUUGGUAUUCUGAGGAGCAUGCCUGUUUGAGUGUCAUUAAAUUCUCAACUACACUGACUUUGAAUUGGUGUGGCUUGGAUUUGGGGGGAAAAUUGUUGUGGGCUUUUUGUAUAGUCUGCUCCCCUGAAAUUGAUUAGCGGUACCUUUGUGGAACUGUCUACAGGUGUGAUAAUUAUCUACAUCUGCUGGAAUGCUGCUUUCUAAACCUUACUUGUAUUGACAAUCUUGACCUCAAAUCAGGUAGGACUACCCGCUGAACUUAAGCAUAUCAAUAAGCGGAGGA
RNAcentral lists this unclassified non-coding RNA (367 nucleotides) under soil metagenome. RNAcentral describes it as "partial contains 5.8S ribosomal RNA, internal transcribed spacer 2, and large subunit ribosomal RNA". The stretch from base 1 to 120 matches the Rfam family "5.8S ribosomal RNA", at positions 35 to 154 of the family's 154-position model. The record is from RNAcentral.